GACGAACGCUGGCGGCGUGCUUAACACAUGCCAGUCGAACGGAAAGGCCCUGCUUUUGUGGGGUGCUCGAGUGGCGAACGGGUGAGUAACACGUGAGUAACCUGCCCUUGACUUUGGGAUAACUUCAGGAAACUGGGGCUAAUACCGGAUAGGAGCUCCUGCUGCAUGGUGGGGGUUGGAAAGUUUCGGCGGUUGGGGAUGGACUCGCGGCUUAUCAGCUUGUUGGUGGGGUAGUGGCUUACCAAGGCUUUGACGGGUAGCCGGCCUGAGAGGGUGACCGGCCACAUUGGGACUGAGAUACGGCCCAGACUCCUACGGUAGGCAGCAGUGGGGAAUAUUGCACAAUGGGCGGAAGCCUGAUGCAGCAACGCCGCAUGCGGGAUGACGGCCUUCGGGUUGUAAACCGCUUUCGCCUGUGACGAAGCGUGAGUGACGGUAAUGGGUAAAGAAGCACCGGCUAACUACGUG
This 468-nucleotide ribosomal RNA is filed under the name uncultured bacterium. RNAcentral describes it as "partial 16S ribosomal RNA". It matches the Rfam family "Bacterial small subunit ribosomal RNA", at positions 28 to 507 of the family's 1533-position model. The record is from RNAcentral.